Molecule: ribosomal RNA, 896 nt
Filed under: Pseudomonas aeruginosa
Lineage: Bacteria; Pseudomonadati; Pseudomonadota; Gammaproteobacteria; Pseudomonadales; Pseudomonadaceae
Description: bacterial SSU rRNA
Rfam family: Bacterial small subunit ribosomal RNA
Source: RNAcentral
CAACUCUCGGGGACUCGGAAGAAGGGAGCUCAGCUGUCUCGGAUAAGCGGCGGACGGGUGAGUAAUGCCUAGGAAUCUGCCUGGUAGUGGGGGAUAACGUCCGGAAACGGGCGCUAAUACCGCAUACGUCCUGAGGGAGAAAGUCGGGGAUCUUCGGACCUCACGCUAUCAGAUGAGCCUAGGUCGGAUUAGCUAGUUGGUGGGGUAAAGGCCUACCAAGGCGACGAUCCGUAACUGGUCUGAGAGGAUGAUCAGUCACACUGGAACUGAGACACGGUCCAGACUCCUACGGGAGGCAGCAGUGGGGAAUAUUGGACAAUGGGCGAAAGCCUGAUCCAGCCAUGCCGCGUGUGUGAAGAAGGUCUUCGGAUUGUAAAGCACUUUAAGUUGGGAGGAAGGGCAGUAAGUUAAUACCUUGCUGUUUUGACGUUACCAACAGAAUAAGCACCGGCUAACUUCGUGCCAGCAGCCGCGGUAAUACGAAGGGUGCAAGCGUUAAUCGGAAUUACUGGGCGUAAAGCGCGCGUAGGUGGUUCAGCAAGUUGGAUGUGAAAUCCCCGGGCUCAACCUGGGAACUGCAUCCAAAAGCUACUGAGCUAGAGUACGGUAGAGGUGGUAGAAUUUCCUGUGUAGCGGUGAAAUGCGUAGAUAUAGGAAGGAACACCAGUGGCGAAGGCGACCACCUGGACUGUACUGACACUGAGGUGCGAAAGCGUGGGGAGCAAACAGGAUUAGAUACCCUGGUAGUCCACGCCGUAAACGAUGUCGACUAGCCGUUGGGAUCCUUGAGAUCUUAGUGGCGCACGUAACGCGAUAAGUCGACCGCCUGGGGAGUACGGCCGCAAGGUUAAAACUCAAAUGAAUUGACGGGGGCCCGCACAAGCGGUGGAGCAUGU